This 162-nucleotide ribosomal RNA is filed under the name uncultured bacterium. RNAcentral's name for it is "partial 16S ribosomal RNA". It matches the Rfam family "Bacterial small subunit ribosomal RNA", at positions 358 to 511 of the family's 1533-position model. The record is from RNAcentral.
GGAAUCUUCGGCAAUGGACGAAAGUCUGACCGAGCAACGCCGCGUGAGUGAAGAAGGUUUUCGGAUCGUAAAACUCUGUUGGUAGAGAAGAACGUUGGUGAGAGUGGAAAGCUCAUCAAGUGACGGUAACUACCCAGAAAGCCACGGCUAACUACGUGCCAG